Caenorhabditis elegans is the source of this 86-nucleotide non-coding RNA. The record is from Ensembl. Lineage: Eukaryota; Metazoa; Nematoda; Chromadorea; Rhabditida; Rhabditidae.
CCGUUAUCUGGUUGACCUGGCAACAUGAUCGUGCCAAUAGACACGUACAUUUGCAUAUCGACCGUUUCUUGCUUGUAGACCCGUUC